This 1168-nucleotide ribosomal RNA is filed under the name Staphylococcus aureus. RNAcentral describes it as "bacterial SSU rRNA". It matches the Rfam family "Bacterial small subunit ribosomal RNA", at positions 8 to 1156 of the family's 1533-position model. Lineage: Bacteria; Bacillati; Bacillota; Bacilli; Caryophanales; Staphylococcaceae. The record is from RNAcentral.
AGAGUUUGAUCCUGGCUCAGGAUGAACGCUGGCGGCGUGCCUAAUACAUGCAAGUCGAGCGAACGGACGAGAAGCUUGCUUCUCUGAUGUUAGCGGCGGACGGGUGAGUAACACGUGGAUAACCUACCUAUAAGACUGGGAUAACUUCGGGAAACCGGAGCUAAUACCGGAUAAUAUUUUGAUCUGCAUGGUUCAAAAGUAAAAGACGGUCUUGCUGUCACUUAUAGAUGGAUCCGCGCUGCAUUAGCUAGUUGGUAAGGUAACGGCUUACCAAGGCAACGAUGCAUAGCCGACCUGAGAGGGUGAUCGGCCACACUGGAACUGAGACACGGUCCAGACUCCUACGGGAGGCAGCAGUAGGGAAUCUUCCGCAAUGGGCGAAAGCCUGACGGAGCAACGCCGCGUGAGUGAUGAAGGUCUUCGGAUCGUAAAACUCUGUUAUUAGGGAAGAACAUAUGUGUAAGUAACUGUGCACAUCUUGACGGUACCUAAUCAGAAAGCCACGGCUAACUACGUGCCAGCAGCCGCGGUAAUACGUAGGUGGCAAGCGUUAUCCGGAAUUAUUGGGCGUAAAGCGCGCGUAGGCGGUUUUUUAAGUCUGAUGUGAAAGCCCACGGCUCAACCGUGGAGGGUCAUUGGAAACUGGAAAACUUGAGUGCAGAAGAGGAAAGUGGAAUUCCAUGUGUAGCGGUGAAAUGCGCAGAGAUAUGGAGGAACACCAGUGGCGAAGGCGACUUUCUGGUCUGUAACUGACGCUUAUGUGCGAAAGCGUGGGGAUCAAACAGGAUUAGAUACCCUGGUAGUCCACGCCGUAAACGAUGAGUGCUAAGUGUUAGGGGGUUUCCGCCCCUUAGUGCUGCAGCUAACGCAUUAAGCACUCCGCCUGGGGAGUACGACCGCAAGGUUGAAACUCAAAGGAAUUGACGGGGACCCGCACAAGCGGUGGAGCAUGUGGUUUAAUUCGAAGCAACGCGAAGAACCUUACCAAAUCUUGACAUCCUUUGACAACUCUAGAGAUAGAGCCUUCCCCCUUCGGGGGACAAAGUGACAGGUGGUGCAUGGUUGUCGUCAGCUCGUGUCGUGAGAUGUUGGGUUAAGUCCCGCAACGAGCGCAACCCUUAAGCUUAGUUGCCAUCAUUAAGUUGGGCACUCUAAGUUGACUGCCGGU